UAAGCGGAGGAGAAGAAACUAACCAGGAUUUCCCUAGUAACGGCGAGCGAACCGGAAAGAGCCCAGCUUGAAAAUCGCGUGGUUCCGCCCCGCGAAUUGUAGUCUGGAGAAGCGUCCUCUGCAACGGACCGGACCCAAGUUCCCUGGAACGGGACGUCGGAGAGGGUGAGAACCCCGUCGAGUUCGGACCCUGUUGCUCCACGAGGCGCUGUCUGCGAGUCGGGCUGUUUGGGAAUGCAGCCCUAAGUGGGAGGUAAAUUCCUUCUAAGGCUAAAUACAGGCAAGAGACCGAUAGCGAACAAGUACCGCGAGGGAAAGAUGAAAAGGACUUUGAAAAGAGAGUUAAAAAGUGCUUGAAAUUGCUGGGAGGGAAGCGAAUGGAAGCUGCGGGUGCGCCUCGGUUGGAUGCGGAACGGCGAGAGCUGGUCCGCCGCUCAACGCGGGGCGCUGGUCAGCGUGGGCCAUCGCGGCGGGACAAGAGCCGGCUUUGUUGCCGGCCUAUGCCGUUGUGGUGGCCGAGGGACGAAGCGCGCGCCACUCGUGGCGGGCCUCAGGGCACCUGCGCGCUCGGGACGCUGGCGUAUUGAGCUCUCCAUCCGACCCGUCUUGAAACACGGACCAAGGAGUCUAACAUGUAUGCGAGCCGGUGGGCGGCAAACCCAUUGAGGCGCAAGGAACCUGACAGGUGGGAUCCCCUCGGGGAGCACCAUCGACCGACCGUGAUCUUCUGUGAAAGGUUUGAGUGUGAGCAUACCUGCUGGGACCCGAAAGAUGGUGAACUAUGCCUGAGCAGGGCGAAGCCAGAGGAAACUCUGGUGGAGGCUCGUAGCGAUACUGACGUGCAAAUCGUUCGUCAGACUUGGGUAUAGGGGCGAAAGACUAAUCGAACCAUCUAGUAGCUGGUUCCCUCCGAAGUUUCCCUCAGGAUAGCUGGAGCUCAUGAAGUUUUAUCAGGUAAAGCGAAUGAUUAGAGGCAUCGGGGGUGUAACACCCUCGACCUAUUCUCAAACUUUAAAUAGGUAAGCCGCCAGGGUUGCUUGGUUGAACCCUGGCACAGAAUGAGAGCUCCAAGUGGGCCAU
Molecule: ribosomal RNA, 1080 nt
Filed under: Meiotrichum lyallii
Lineage: Eukaryota; Viridiplantae; Streptophyta; Polytrichopsida; Polytrichales; Polytrichaceae
Description: eukaryotic LSU rRNA
Rfam family: Eukaryotic large subunit ribosomal RNA
Source: RNAcentral